RNAcentral lists this long non-coding RNA (24942 nucleotides) under Eucalyptus grandis. RNAcentral's name for it is "long non-coding RNA (EGRA_LNC002421)". Lineage: Eukaryota; Viridiplantae; Streptophyta; Magnoliopsida; Myrtales; Myrtaceae. The record is from RNAcentral.
CCACUACAGGAUGAAGAAAUCGAUUCGGGCCUUCUAGAAAAUAGUGAGAUUCGAGUUUCUGAUGUUCAGUCCCAAAGAGUAAAGGGGCAGAUUAUCGACACUUAAUUGCUGAGGGUCAAUCUCCAUCCCAAUUUGUUUCAAAUGACCCUUGUCCUAAUGCUUAAUUGGAUCUCCGCUAACAGCAGUGUCGGGGCAACCCAUGAGAUGUGAAAUGAAAGCUGUUAGCCCCACCGUUGCCUACAUGGCAACAAUUCUGGAGUAACAGACAACCGAGGUACUCGAGCUCACUGGGCAACGCAAACAAAAGACCUGAAGACGAGAGGAUGACCAUGGAGUUGUUCAUGUGACAAAUUGUGACGAACGCCCGGGAGUAUCUUCUGGAUUUCUGCCCCCCAAAAAAAUGGACUUUCUAUGUCAAGCUGGCCAUCUCCGAGUCUCGGACAAGAGAGAAUUGGGGCCGUCGGUCCAGUGAGAAGAGUGACCGGUGUCGAUGAUCGACUUACAUUAAAAGUUUUCACACCGCCUCUCAGCAUGAGCAACGCGGUAGGGCAAAAGAUGACGAGGAUGCAAUGUUAGUGGAAUUUCAGUAUUUCCGCAAUGAAAAUUUUCAUAAGGAAAGGCUAUUACAACUUUCUGCAUCUCCCAAGUAUACAGUAAGGCUAUUACGACUUUCUUGCUACUCUAGUCUCUCACAAAGGGGUGCAUUGGCAUUCAGGAAUCACAGAAUAAGUUUCACACUGCCGGCUUAACUCAUGAGAGAGACAUUUGCCACCUUCGCAGGAUGGAUCCUUUGCCAUUGCUCCUGCAUACUUAGCGCAAGAGAAUGUGGUGGAAAGGGAAUUACCGGAGGAAUGAAUGCGAAAUGAGGAACCGGAGGAAUACUAACGAAAUGAGGCAUGGAAAUGUAUGAGCUAGUGUGCAGAAAUUUUGUGGCAAUCCAAAUUCAUUUGACUCCAAUGUCGAAUAUGCACCCCAAAAGGAAAAAUGACAAAUACGAUCCAUUCCAUUUAGGAUGCUCACUCCGUUGUUAAAUAUUCUACCUAGCGAGAGAAAAAGAGUCCAGGCUGCAAUCGCAAUUCGCAUCCCAGCGCUGAUUCAGCAUAUGCUAAACAUCUACUCGAGAUCAAUUAACACAGGCAAAUAUAAAAGCAUGGGUAGCUUGUCCAAAAGUUGCGAACAAGGGCCGUGCACACUGCAUUUUAUACAUGGUGAAAGGUUUCAUGUCCACUGGACAAUUAAGAGAUGAAAUUUAACCUCAGUGUUGAUCCAGCUGGCUUCUCAAGGAAACAUAGUGUAGUGCUCAUCAUCUUUGUGAUCGAGAAAAGUUGAAUCACCAGAUCCUUCAAACAUCUCCACAUAUAUCAGUGCAUCGAUGCCUAACUACAGAUGGGCCAUCUCACUAGCUCAACAUCUACUCACGCUCUAUCUGAAUAGUGACAUGGCUGAUGUUAUAUUCUCUUCUGAUGAAGUCAACAACCUUGUUCAGCACCAUGUCCGCAUUGGCUUCACGCUUUAUUUUAACAUGGCAAGCCAGCAAGACUUUCCCGACUGUUAUUGCCCAGAUGUGCAACUCAUGCACUGCAGUCACAUCAUCCAUCUCGCACAGACCCUGUGACAGCCUCGUGGCAUCAAUCUCCCUCGGUGUGCUCUCCAUGAGAACCUCCAAAAUAUUCCGAAGCAUUCUUAUUGUAGUGCCCAGCACAAUCACUGAGAAUAUUAGGGUACAUAUCAAAUCAAUGAUCUUCCACUCGGGCUUAUACCAUAUGAUGGCUCCACCAAUCAUCACACCAACACUCUGAAUCGAAUCUCCUAGCACAUGAAGAUAAGCACCCUGUACAUUAAUAUUCCAUUGCUUCUUCUGUUUCGGCCCACUCUCUUUCUCGUUAUUGAUAUCACAGCAACCCUUGACCAAUGGCUCUGUAAGAUCUGUUUCAUGGCCAUGAUGAUGAUCAUGCUCAUGAUGAUGUUCCAGAAAUUCUUUAUCAUGAUGGUGGUGAUGUGCAUCAGCUGUGACUUGGGGUUUUGGGUUAUGUCCAGCAUGAUCCUCGUCAUUAUGGUCAUGGCUUCCAUGGUCAUGACCAUCUCCACUAUGCCGGUGAUCGUGAUCAUGGCCUUGACUGUGACCGUGACCAUGUUCGUGACCAUGGCCGUGACCGUGACCGUGACCAUGACCAUGGUCGUGACCGUGGCCAUGACCCAGCAAGAGUGCCAUGGCAAUAUUAACCACUAAACCAAAGGCAGAAACAAGAAACAUUAGAAAACCCCGAACUUCACCUGUAUCAUGGAUCAGCCUUUCGAUGGCUUCAUAUACGAGAAUCCCAGCAAGAAGCCAUAUCAUUUGAAUAGACACGAGAGCACCAAGAAUCUCAAUCCUGAAGAAACCAUAGGAUUGGCGAGGUGUUGCCUCCCAUCCUGAAGCCCACAGAGAGAAUAAGGAUAUAGCAAAUGCAGCAACGUCUGACAAUAGAUGAGCUGCAUCUGUUAGAAUUGCUAGACUGUUCGCUUUGAUGCCUCCAACAACCUCUACAGCCAUGAAUACUAUGCAGAGGACAACUGCCACCAAAAGUUUCCUCAUAGAUGCUGACCGCUCCUUUUCAUCUUGAGAACUGGCACUAGAAUCUUUAAAUCCACAGGGUGCCUCACCACAAAUUUUCAUCCUGCCUGCGCCUGUUUCUGCUGGCACUUCCCCACAAACUUCAAUUAUAUGUCCACUUUCACCACUCCGAGCUUCCAUCUGAAAACAAUCCCAGAAUAACAUGUCAAAGGAUUUAAUGCAAAUGCCAAGUAUUUCAUAUAACAUAUAUACCCACUUUACAUUAAAACAAGAGUAAUCUAGAAGAAUCUCUAGAUAAAAAAUACACGCACAUGAAAAACAGAUUAGCAUAAGAAAAUGUGAUGUCAAAUGGUUGAAUAAUAAAAUAUGCAGCUUGCAGAGUCAUUUGAUUGUGACGUGCCAAAUUAUAAGCCCCAUGCCACAUAGAAUCAAAGAAGAAACUUACACUUCAAAGGCUGGAUCACUCUAUGCUAAAAGCAGAGAAUAAAAGAAAGAAAAAGGAAAAAAGUAGCUUACCCUAAAAUUCCAGUCUAAUACCAAAAAGACAAGUAUCUUAUGGAAACUUAUCGUUUGAAUUUUCUCUAUUUCAUAUUCCAGUAUUUCAAUCUGUGAAUAGCACUGAGUCUAAUCUUAAAAAGUAUCACAAUUUAAUACCUCAGCAAUCUUUUUUUGGUAGAUGCAAGAUUCCCAAAAGACAGAUUCCAAAGUACACCUUCAUAUCCAUCAAAAAAGGAAGCCUCAAAUGCCUCUCAAUGAACAUUUAGAAUUCUAGUUACUUCAAAGUUCAAACCAAAGCCAUUGAACAUACCAUCAUGACCGUAAACUAAUGCACUUUAAAUGAGUAUCUAAAUCUACGUAUAGAAUUUUCAACACAUAUGUCAAUGGCCCAAACAUCGCCUCCUAUCUGAAUACUCACCUUUUGACUGAUAUACAAACCCAACUGGAAAGCAUAUUAAUUUCCAGAUAACUGGGACAAUUCUGCAUGUGGUCUCUAAAGCAUAUACCAUAAUGCAGCAAGAUUCUCAUCUAGUUGUCCAUUCUUUGGAAGCAUGACAUGUAAAUUCCUAAUUGAUGCUAGUGAUGCAACUACUGUUGGCCAAACCACAGCCUGCAACUAUUAAUGUAAUGAUGAAACUAGCUUGAGGAACAGUAUUCACUAAUGCCGAAUUAUUAUUAUCUUUCUUUUUGCUAACCUAUAAGUUCCUCGAUUACCAUGAUGCAAAAAUUAGUAGCACUCCACAAAAUUAACUGGUGAGUGCGCAACUGAAUGAAAAGUAAACAGGAAUUUUAUUCAAAACAAAAAUUGUUAAGCUUGGAAUCUUACCAAUGUCUUGACACACAUAUGGAUUGUGUAACUAAUUAAUACCAUAAAAUUCUAAAAACGUACAGCUAUACCAAAAUGUCAUAAAUGAGUGCAAAACUGAGAUUCCCACUGCAGACACUUUUCUCCCCAUCCCUCUCAAGUAUAUACAAUGCCGCAUCCUUUUCACAUCUAUAUCAGAGGAGACUCUAAAAUCUAGAAAACAAUAAUUGAACUCUAUAUACUAAUCCCAUACAUGACAAUUAAACACUAUCCAAGAUUCUCCAGCGUCCAUGUUUCAGACUAAUCAGACUUCGGAUUGGGACAUUUGGAACUAAAUAAGAUUGUAACUCACAUCCUUAUAAAUAAUUUGAAAGCCAGAAAUAUCUGAGACUUGCAAAGAUUCAGUAACAAUGAGUUUUGAGCAGAUGUAAUUAGUUUGACUCAAGCCAUAACUGAUAGAGCAUGGUGCGAAAUCUACUAUCCCAUGGACCAUGUCCGUGACUGGGUCCCUUUCAGAAGUUUUGUCCACUUUUCACUAUAUUUUAAUCCUCCUGGCUCUUUUCAAUCAUCAUCCAUUUAUGCUGUCAUUAUGCAAGGCAUCAAAGCAGAAGUUCAUCAAAUGUUAUGCAUUAAAGUAGAAUAAAAAACUCAGAGCAGCCAAACUCUGAAAAGCAAGGACACUUUGCUCAAAAUACAUUGAAUCCAGCAUAGUCAACUCAAUGGGUCACCCUGAUAGUUAUCAAAAAAAGCACAAGCGACACAGAAAAUAACUGGCGUUAUCAACCAUCCAAGCAACAAUCGCCACUGAAAUUCAACGUGCCAUCACAAAUUUUGGAUCCACUCUGUUUCAAGUAGAAGAAAACACCACUCAAGCAUGUAAACCAAGCAAAAAUAUCGCAAUCAUAGAAACCUAUCCACUCCGGCAAAUCGGAUGCACUCCUCAAUGACUUCCACCACAUAUACAAACACUGAAACCUAAAAUUAUGCAAGGAAAACCCAAAAAACCAGGCAUGUGGAGCAAAUUGACAGUAAAAUAAAUAAAUAAAACAAAAACACAGAGCAAAGAAUUUUCACAAGGUCCAACGAACAAAACAACCGCAGAAACAAACCUCGAACAUACGAAUUCUCAAUUGCUGAAUCUCUAUCAAGCGUGCGCGUAAACACAACAAACAAAAACAUCAACAACAACAAAAAAAGAAACCCAUGUCCGCAACCAGGAAAAUACAACACCCCUCGCAAAACUCGACGCAAGCAAGUCUUCCAGAGAUAGAUGCUGAGAAUCACGCGACGCAUCAGCCAUGCAAAGCCCAGAAACUCGCACUGAACCCACCACAACCAAAACCCAUCUCGCAAAAUACCCACAGACACGCCCUGCACACCGCCGAAAAGUCCAAAACCUCCUCCUCCCGCUACAAAUCGACAUAAUCUCUCAGACUGCAUUCGCAAAACAACCCAUCGAUCGAAUUCCCACGAGCAAAAGAAGAACCCGACGAGAAUCAAACGACGACUAGAACACGCAGAGAGGACCACGCAAGAAGCCAUCGAAGGAAGCGAUCGACUUUAGCCUGGCGACGUCAGGCAAGCGAGCAACUACCGUCUCCUCAAAUUUCCACGGCGGUUCGACUUCUUGGACAUGUUCAAGAUACCCUCGGCUUAGAAUUUAUUCUAAACUUCGGUCUUAGAGUUUUAGCGUUGGUGUGGAGAAAAAUCAGGUUGUUCCAUAUAAAUAAAUUAUCGUGUCAAUUUAUUCUAAACUUCGAGUUGUGGAGCAUUACGGUACAUGCAUUUUUAUAACACAAUAUUUGGCCAAGACAUCGGACGGCAAGAUUGAGUUGUCCAUUUUGAUGAAAAAGGCUGAUAGGGUCAAGCAUAGGGAGUGAGAACGCACAAAGAAGAAGAAAGAGCAAAGAGAACUUUUGGCACACGAAAAAAGAUGAAGCUCUUGAACACACCAUGAUUUGUACCGUGAGAUCUGCAUCCAAUUGAAUAGUUAAUUUAAGUGUGGAAAACACUCAAAUAUAUAAAUAAUUGUAACUCUGAAACUCCGAUUAUUAAUGAAUUAUUUGUUGCUAAUUUUUCUUUUAGAGUAGGUAUCAAUAUUUAAAUCAAAUUACGUAAAUCUCGAAUGUUUUUAUUAUUUAAUGUUUAUUUUUCUAAUGAUUUCGCAUUAAUUUAAUUACAAGAUCCAAUUGUUUUCUGCUUUAAUCUCGAAACACAUACUUUGUCCACCUGAACGAAUGUAAUUUGACAUGACGACCUAUGGAAAAUGCCUUGGUAGGCAAAUACGAGAUCACAUCAAGGUCAAGACAAAAUCGACUCUUCCUUUUAUAUUUUAACUACUUUAAAGCACACGGCUCUCCAGUGGGUGGGUUCCAAGUGAAGUUUUUAAAAGUCGGGAGCAUUCUCCAAAAUGUAAUUUUCUAGAGUCUGAUAUUUGUAUAACAAAAUGGAGCAACAUCGAGAAUCUCUCAACAGCUAAAGUAUUGGACCCAAUUCGACCAAAAAAAGGCAUAAGACCCAAGAAAUAAAAGGGGAAGAAAGCGUACUUUUCACCAACAGACGGUAAUUAAAGGAUGAUGCUAAUCGAAUCUACCAUCAAAAUCCAGAAAAAUUCACUGGCCCACCCGGGAGAGGAAAGAAAAGGUACAUUUUCCAGUGAUUGAUUUUCACUAACACGUCAGAAUUGGAAAAACAAGCCUACCAAAAGUUGACCUCGAUUCUUCUUUUAAAAUUGGGUAAAUAUCAUGAAAAAUCCAAAACUGGUACACCUGUGACAAAUUUACCCCAUGCUAUUUUUUUUACCACCAAAAACCCUAAAAUAGUAUACCUUUGACAAAUUUACCACAAACUGGUAUACUUGUGAUAAAUUUAUCAUAUGUUAGUUUUUGUUAAAUUUUACCGUCAAAUUAUUAAGUUAAAUAAUACGUGACAAUUGACUGGUCUACCAAUUUUGGAUUUUACACUCCAUUUGUCAUCGUUUACAAUUUUUGUGAUUUUUUGUGGUACUAUUUCAAUUUAGCAGAGGGUAUAUUUGUCACAAAUUUAUCAGUUUGGAGUUUUUUGCAGUCGAAUAAAUUAGUUUGGGGUAAGUUUGUCAUAGAUGUACCAAUUUAGGAUUUUUUAUAGUCAGUCAGGGUAAAUUUGUCACAGGUAUACCAGUUUGGAGUUUUUUAUGGUAAAAAAAAUAGUUUUUGGUAAAUUUGUCACAAGUGUAUCAGUUUGGAGUUUUUUAAGGUGUUAACCCUUAAAAAUUCCAAGUGUGCCGACAUAAUCUGUCGGCACAUGUUUACUGUUGUUGCUAGUUCAAAUCUUUUUGGCUAGCAGAAAGUGACGCGGGUGAGUACUGCACAAUAGCAAGAGAGAACCGGUGGGCAAUCCAUUGGAAGCCGUAUCAUAAAGGCCUCAUUUGAUUAAGCAUUCCCAAGUAACUUUUAGCCCUAAAAGUCCUUGGGAAAAAAUUUAGAUAUUUGGUUCAGUAUUUGAAAGUGUCAUUGGCCAAAUGCUGACCUUUGAAAUGCUGAAAGCCCAAAGCAGGUCACCUGCUUUGGGCUUUUAACAUUUCCGAAAUGCAAGUCCAUCUUUACUAUUCAUCCGUUAACUUUUUUUUAAACCAAUCAUCUUCCCCACAUCCCAACCGUCGUUGAUCAGCGACGGAGUUUUAUCGGAUUUUAUUUUUAUUUUUUAAAAAAAUAAUAAAAACUCUUUGCAAAUGGUGGGUUCACCUCUUUUUUUUUGUUAUUUUUAUCUUUUGACAAUCAAUAGCCCAACUUUUUAUCAAUACACUAGAAUGAUCACUAAUUAACAAAGAUGAUUAAUACUACAAUAAUUUUAAAAAAAAAUAUUCAAAGUUGAAAACAAACCUAAAAGAACCCUAGACGAAAAGUUGAGCUUUGCAUCUCCUCUAUAAUCAAAUUGUUUUAAUAUAAUUUUUAAAUAAAUUUACUAAUAUAUAUCUUUUAUAUUACUUUUAACAUGAAAAUAUAAAAGGUUAUAUAGUCAUUGUUUCUUUUUUGCAAUUUUAAAAAUACUAAAACUAAAAAAUUUAAUUUGGUAACACUAAAAGGUUUUUCAAAUAUAUGUUUACCAAACAGUCUUACAUUUCCCUAAAUCACUUUUUAGUUAUAGUUUACCAAACAGUCUAUUUCACGCCCCAAUCCUCGAGCAUGCACACAUCCUUCUCACUUGGUCGAUUUUAUAAUGCGAUAUUCCAGGACUAUGUAUCGCCGACCCUUUUAUUUAUUAAGCACAUGCGGAAGCAGUUAUAAUCUCCAGACAAUAAAUACGAUGGGAUAGAAAAGCAAUGCCAUAUUUUUCAUAUUGAAACUUAUAACCUAACUUUUAUACAAAACACAAACCAAAGUACUUCAUUACUAUUCACAUCAAAAUUGAGAUCUCAAAAGAAGAUGGAAUCUCAGUCCAAUUCAGUUCAAUCAGUCAAUCCAUGACAAACGAAUCAAACCAUAUCAAUGAUUUCAUCUAUACUCGAUAAUUAAUCUCAACAUUCCCAUUCAACAUUCCCACUCAAAUAUAGGCUCAAGGCGCUAGAGGUGACCCCAACACAAAGUCUCGUCAUCGUGCAGUACUUAGUCAUUGACCACAAAUAACAAUAGUAUAAGGCGCUAGAGGUAACUCACACGAAAUCUCGCUGUUGUGUAGUACUUAGUCCUUCACUACAAAAUGCAAUAGGAUAAGGCGCUAGAGGUGACUCACACAAGAUCUUGCCAUCGUGUAGCACUUAGCCAUUCACUAUGCAUAACAAUGAUGUAAGGCACUAGAGGUACUUCCCAUGCGACUCAGGUCGUCAUGUAACACUUAGCCCUUAACUACAAUAAGCAAUGGUAUCAGACGCUAGAGGUAACUCACACGAAGUCUUCUACUUGUGUAGUACUUAGUCUUUUACCUGCUCAUGAUCCAUUGGUUUCCCUCAACACAACACACAUCACAUCACAUCAACUUCCAAUAAUCAUCUUGCUUCAACUAUAAGCCAACACACAAUUAAUCCCUCACGGCCCAAUGACAUUAUGCCUCGCACUUAACUUCCUCAAUUAAAGUAAUGUCUUGACCUCAUUUCUUCGUAUUAGAAAUAUUCAAUAAAAUAUCGUGUGUGGACACACGGCUGGCCUUAGCCAAAAUCUAAUAUUUUCCUUUCCAUAACUCCCACAUUUUCUAUAGUCCGCUCAAAUAGUUUUGGCAUUAUCAACCGAUGUCCGGUUAUUUUUCAAUUAAUAACCAAUGAUUUUCCAAUUAAAGAAUAAUUCCCAUCCUUUGCAAAUAAUUCAAUUCAACACAAAAUAAAGCUCCAUUAAAUAAACGGACUUCACCGCGAUGAUCAUCAUGAAAUUUCGGUCGUCGAAUAACCCAACCUUAAUUUCCGAAAAAUAAAUCAUUAAUUAAUUAAUUUCGAAAAUUAAUAAUUAAUUACAAUAAAUCCAAUUUAGCUCAAAAUAAAGCCCAAUUAAAUAAACGGGCUGCACCACGAUCAUCAGCAUAAAAAUUCGGCCACUAGCCAUCCAAGUUGAAUUUCCAGAAAAUAAAUAAUUAAAUAAUUAAUUUCGAAAAUUAAUAUUUAAAUACAAGAAAUUCAAUUUAGCUUAAAAUAAAGCCCGGUGAAAUAAACGGACUUUGCCAUGGUCAUCAGCAUAAUAUUCCGAUUACUGGCCAUCACUGUUGAAUUUUCGGAAAAUAAAUAAAUUAAUUAAUUAAUUCCGAAAAAUAAUAUUUAAAUGCCAAAAAUUCCACUUAAGCCCGAAUUACCAAAUUGAAGCCCGAUUAGGAUCGGGAAAAAUCCCGGGCUACCCUCAAUAAAUAGUAGACCGCGUCUACUUGCUAAAUACAUAUUCAAUUUGUCUAAUUUGUAUCACAAUUGACUAAUAAACACUAAUCUAACAAUCUAAAUCUAAUUAAAUAAAACUAAAAAACCAAUAAGUGUCAUUAGCUCACUAAGCAAGGAUUAGUGAGAUUACUCACCGGAAUGGCGCGCAAAUCGGAUCAAUCCGACGGGGACGGCGCGAUGAACGAUUCCUUCCAAAGCACGGCUCGGGUUCGAGUCCCGGAAACGGCCCAAAACCACCCACGAGUGUGCUGGAAACCCACUCGGUGGGUUGCUGGUUUGGCUGCAAAACAGAGAGGAAGUGAGUUGGUUGGGGGCGGCAAGGGGUCGGGAAGGUAGGUGGCGGCUUGGCGAGGCCGAGCGGUGGCCCACGGUGGCCGGAGGUGGUCGGAUCGUGGCUUGUGAUGGCUGAAUCGAGCUGAACAGAGGGCGGCACGGGCGGCUGGUCCAAUCUUCGGUGAGCUGCUGUCCUUCCUCCGUUUCUGGUUUUCACGAGCAAGAAACAAGAAGAAGGGGAGCUUUCGGUCACGAGGGGGAGUGGGGGAGAAGAGAGAGGAGAGAGAAGAAGAGAUAAUGGUUGAAAAGUCAAAUGGGGAAGAGAAAGCAAAGUAGAAAACGGCAAGGGAAAAGGAGAGAGAGUCGGCCUGGGGAGGGGGUGUCCGCACGAAGGAAAAAGGAGGGAAGAGAGAAAAGAGAGAAAGAAAAAGGGAGAGAAAAGAAGAGAGAGGGAGAGAGAGAAAAACAAAAUAAAAUAAUAUCCUUGCUCUUAUUUUAUUUUUCUUUUCUCUUUUCCACUCUAAUUUCUUUGGAUCUUCGAUUUUUCCUCCGAUAAUUUCUUUCCUGAAAUUUCGGGCUCGUCAAUAAUUUGACGGACGAUGAGACGGUCCUAAAAAUGAAUUGUGACACGCUCGAAUAUUCGAUUCUCAAAACCAAAUGAAAUUUCAUGAUUAAAAUCAAUCGGACGCGAUUUUAGUCCAAUCCAACAAAUUAGGUAGCUUUUAGGGAUUUUACCGCGGAUAUAUCCCUUAACAGCUUCACCCAAUAGGUUAGUUAACUCAUGAAUGAUCAGUUCAGAGAAAAAGGACCAUAGGCGCGCCGACAAUAUGCACAUUUCAUUUUAUCGAAACGAGGUCGAAUUUCAGGAUGUCACAGUCUAGCAUUUCGGAAAACCCAUUUCCCUCAAAGGUAUUUACAUUCUCCCAGGAGCAUUUCCCCAAAGCUGAACCAAAUGGGCCUAAAAGCUGGAGCUUGCAAGGGAUUGCAAGAGCAAGAACCUGAAAAAACAUAAUCAGCACAUGGCAUUACGUUGUGUCUGGUCCACAGCCAAAGCUACUGUACGGGUUGCCGAGGCUAUAGUGACCAGAAUUUGAUCGCUAUCCUCCUUCAGGAUGAUACACUCGACUUACAAGUUCUUGGAGAUGGAAAAUGGGUUGCUUUCAAUCCCAUUCCCAGCACUUUCGUUCCAACAUAGUAAAAGAAAAAUAAAAGGUUGAGAUGGAAGUUGCGCAUUUUUUUACUCAAGCUGGAGAUCAAAAGUGUACAUUUAAUUGAAGAAAAUAACAAUAAAUAAUCACAGUAGAUGGAUCGGUUCCAUCUUUUUGUCAAAUCUACAUACAAGUACUAGACCACGCUUUAGAGCCAUGGUGAACAACUGUCACGACCUAACCUCAGGUGUUCCACCUAAGGUUUGGCUAAUGGACUGAAUUUUAUCAAAGAGUCGCCACUAAUCAGUUUAUAAUAGAUCGAUCAGACACAUGAGUAUAACUCUUACGAACUGGAUAAAUUGGGUACGAGAACUUGAUUACACUAGAUUUAUCUAAUACUCUUUUGGUACCAUUCUUUUUAUUUUCAACAAUUAUCUUUGCGGGCAAUCUGGAUUGGUUUUAACCUAAAUCAUUGUGAUGCAAUGGGGUGAUUACGCGAAUGCACAACCAUUAUUAAACAUUCAAUGAAUCAAAUAAAUUGCAUUAAAAGAAUUAUACACACAAAGCAAGCAAUUUUUUUUUUUUUGUAUUUUCUUAUCUUGAAAUUAGAACUUUACUAUAUGACGUGCGCUUUAACUAUAUGACCUAACUCUAUUGACAAGCAAUUUCUAAUCAAAUGAACUUAAUAUACAGACUAUUUGACAUGCACCUAAUAUUUUUUGUAUUUUUUAUUAAAAUUCGUAAUAAAAAAAACCUAAUUAAACUAUCUAAAAUGAAUAAUUUUCUAGUCUAUUUUAGGGACUAAUUUGACUUAACCAUGUCCUAUCUUGGAAAACUAUAUUAGACCCUAUCUAUAUAUAAUAUAAAAAAAAUGUUUUUUAGAUUCUAUCCUAAUCUGUUACAAAAUUAUCUAAGCGUGCAAUUAAAAAAAUGAAAUCCUAAUUUAUGAAGGCAUCAUAUUCCGAUGCAAGAUUUGAUUUUUUUAGUAUUUUCCAAAACAAGCAAUCAUCAUAUAUAGGCAUUAUAUCCAAGCUACUCAAGAUAUUCAUCAAAUGAAGGGUUAGCAUAAUUGAAAAAAUUCACAGAUUAAAUUAACAAUUAUUCUAAUCCCAAACAUCACAACAUGUAAAAAAGUUCAAAAUAAUUAAAAAUUUAAUUUGAAAUCUUACGGAUCAAAUUAAUAAUUAUACUGAAUUAAAAGUUAAAAUACUAUCAAAGUGCCAAAAAAUCAAUAUAAUUAAAAAAAAUAUCCGACAUUUUACGGAUCGAAUUAGUAAUUGUAGUGAUUUCUAGAUGACAAUACCCUACAAAUAAUGCCUAAAACAUUCAUAUAAUCAACAUUAGCAUCGAGUGUUCCAAUUUAAGCCAUAAUACCGAAACUUGAUUUAAGAAAAAUUACCUUGACUGCAUUUUAAUUCUCUAAAAGGACCGGUGCUGGGAUUCGCAAAUGACGAUUUGCGUCGGGGUCGGCUUAGUGAUAGCGGGUGGUAGGAAUGCAACAGCAGCUCCCGGUCAAGCUCGUCGCGGCUUUGUGAUGGCAGCUCAGGCGCAGCAACUCAAGAGGAAGGGCUGGUAGGCUAGCGAGCAGGCCGGUGUCGGGCCAACGGGCUCAGGACAGCGGGGCUUGCAGCUGGGGGGUGCUCGGGAGCGCGGCGACGGGCGGCGUUCAGCGAGGAUCAGCCAACAGCGCGACGGGAGGAGGCGCGGCGCGCGGUGACGGGCGAGCUUCAGCGCGGCGACGGGGGACGGGCGAACGUCGACGCGGCGACGGGUGGAGCGCGGACAGGCGGAGGAGCGGCGACGGGUGCAGCGACCGGCAGGGCGCGGCGACGAGUGCUGUAGGUUGCGGGCGCCGGGCGGAGGGCAGCAGUAGCGACGGCUUUAGGAGCUCCGGCGACGAGCGGGCGGACUGCUGCGGCUUCAGCGACGGAGCUCGCCGGUAGGAGGGAGGCGGCGGCGAAUCAGCAGCUGCCAGGAGCCGGGGGAACCUGAAGAAGACGACCUCUCCUCUCUCUCUCUCUCUCUCUCUUUUUUUCUUCUUUUUCUCUACGUCUCGCGUCCACUCUCUCCUUCUCUCUCUGUACUUUGCUGACUCCUCCUUUUCUCUGCACUUUGUAGAGAAGAAGAAAAGGUGGCUACCUUUUGUUGACUUCUAUGGAUGAGGGAGAUGGACGAGGGAGAGACUCUUUUUUUCACGAAUUGUGACCCCCCUUUCCGUCCGUAAUCGAGCCCUCUUUUAUAGGCCAAGAAAGGAUUUUAUUUGAAUGUUUCAUUUCAUUUUUCAACUUUUCCCAGCUGCCCAUAUCAGCUUCAAAUUUCCUUUUCUCAAUAUGCAUGAAAAUCAAUUUUUGCUCGCUCAUAACCUCCUGAAUAUAUCGUCGAUACACAUGCACUUACGUGCAAUAUCCUCUUUUAUCUCUUUUCAAUAUUUCAUCCGAAACCUUUAUUUUUGCCAAGUAAUAUCUCCCGGCAUAUCAUCCAAUAUUGUAAGAAUAGAACAAAUCCUUUCCAAAAUAUAUCUAUCUUCAAAUCAUAAAAUUAACGCUCAUUUAUCGUCAGUCAAUCCAAUGCAAAUGCAAUAAAACAAAUAAUAUAAACUAAAUAAUGAAUGCUUCUAAAACUAUAUGUUAUUUUUGUUUAGGGGUUAAAAAUUAAUCCAUAAUUUUUAAUGCGAUAAAUAAAUGACUAGGUUGCCAAAAUUUGAGUGUCAAUAGCUGUGAUCGGCAAAAAUAUCCAUCCCGAAAUUUCAUUGCCCAUCUCCAAAUGCACUUAUUAGACAUGCUCGGGACUUGAUUGAUUAUGAACGUCCUGCUAUCUACAAGACCUUUACAUACGAAGAUUACUAUCACAGAUUAUGGGAUGGAGGCUUAGCUCUGAGUGUUGCUCAGACAUGUUCAAGACACCCUCGGCUUAGCGUUUAUUUAAAACUUUCAUAUGAUUCCGAAUCUAGUACCGGGUCUAAGAUGAAACUGAGAAUAUGUGUCUAUUUCUUUACCGGUUAUUAUUAUUAUUAUUAUUAUUAUUUUGGUCGAAAAAAGAGUUUCAUUCUUAAUCAAAGAUUUAAUAGAUACCCAAUUAGAAGGGAGGGUGUUUUAGAUUUGGAUUUUGACCACCCAAUCUGCUACCUUAUGUUGGGUCUGCGAGCAAAGGGCCAGCCGAAGGCCUUUACUGCUGAUAAGGACAUAGUGACAUUCCUCGAUUAACCCAUCGUUUGAAAGGAUUUUAAGUGAGGGAAGAAAAAGGUAGUAAAGAAAUAAAGAUAAAGAAAAUUGAGAUAGAAAGAUAAAAAAAUAAAAAAUAAAUAAAACAGUUUGUUUAUUGUUGUUUGGAAUGGGAGGAAAGCGAAGUGUAAACAAAUGAUUGAGAUCUGAAAUGUGUUGUUGGAAAGACGUGGGAAAUGAAGGAAAAAACGAAUUUUAUGUGAAUUUACCAUUUUUCCCUCCCAUUAAAGAUAACGACCAAUUUUAUUUUGUAAAAAAGAAGGAUAAAUUUGAGAUUGUGCACAUCCUAUGAGAAUAAAAUAGGUUGUACUCUUCAUAUUGAAAUUGAUGAAAACCACUUGAUUUCCAAUAAAAAAUAAGUAUGGACACAUAGAUUCGCAAUUUGAACUUGUUGACGUUAAAAAAUUUCAAGUUCCUAACCGUCAACUCAGAUUGGAAUAGAUUGAACAAGGCACGAUUGACAUAAAUUUUGUUAAAUCUUUUUGGUUGGUAACUACAAAUAAUCGACAAAGGUGAUGAGAAGUUGCUAUCAAGCUACAGAAAAUUAUUUAGUGUUGAGUCACGAAAUGUUGAUAAACGACGCUCGGUUCAAUUGAUAGAAAAAUUAAAGUUGAAGUGAAGAUGGAUAAAUCAAUAAAAAGAUAAAUGUGUCAUGGAGCCAAAAUUUCGACUACAAUCAUAACGACCCAUUCAAUGAUGAAGCCAGCGCGAUCACCAUUAUAUGGAGCCGAAAAUCUAAAAAGCCCCAAAUAAUAAUAAUGGUCGAGAAAUGUAGGCUAUUAUAAAGGGCGGGAAAAGAAGUUACAAGCUGCAGAAGAAACUAGCGGCCUUGGGCGAAUGAUGAGGAAUAUUCAAACUACAAAUGACCAAAACAUUAGAGUUUCUCAUAUAUUACUUUCUUGGGCUCCCAUUAAAAUGUAUCUACAGAUUUAUAGACAGCGGCUGACGAUGAAAUUACUGCCCACCUCGAGAUAUUUAAGUUUGAUCUCAUUCGUCGACAUUGGAUCAAUUUUUAUCGCGGCUAAGCAUCAAAAGGCGAAACGAAUUGUCCUUUGUCACUCCUGUCGCUUUUAAUAUUUUUGUCCUCGAAACUCGAUAUGGAGAAGAUCUGUCGUGGCCAUCAUCGUCGCCCAAUCUCGCCAUCUCAAUGCGUACGAAAGAAGCUAAUGACGGGCAAAGUUCUCGUUGGCGUGGUUAAGUACAGCUCUUACCUGGGCAAUUUACAAGCUGACGUCGGCGACCCCCACGUAAGCAUGAUCACGUCAUCGUCCUUUUUUAAGUCAAUGAUUAAUGGUGAGAAUGAGAACGGACGAAUAGUUCUCGUCUCCCUUUCAAACGACGCCUAACUGCAUCGAGAGCUCAUCUUCACAUUGGCUGACAUAGGGCUGGUGACAUCUUCACCUACGUAGGCUUAUCUCCUGCACUAUCAACCUUCUAGUCGUUUGGAUGGGGAGUACACGGAUCUGCCAGAAUGGGUCAUGUUUUCUCUAUAAAUGCAGACUCCCUCAAGUUCUGUGUCCAGCAAAAAGAUAUAUCAUUUGCAGUGCUGAGCAGGAUGGCUACGCCCGCCACUAAGCUCUUGCUCAUCGACCGCGUGCCCAACAAUUACAUCUGGCCCCAGGCUGACCGCCCUAACCUCACUGAGGUCGAGGCCUCAGAUGCCUCCACCAUCCCACUAAUUGAUCUCCAAGGCCUCUUUGGUCCCAACCGUGAUGAUAUUAUCAGACAGAUUGGUAAAGCAUGUCAACAAGAUGGUUUCUUUCAGGUACGGCAUAAGAAUAUUACAGUGCGGGUUAGCUAAAAAAAUGCUAAUUAAGCAAAAGGGUAUCAAUUAAAACUUGAUGGAUGCGAUCAUCCCAUAAUGAGUUUUUGCUUUGUCUCAUGUGGUUCUGCUCAACAUUUUCUUUGGCAGAUCAAGAACCAUGGGAUACAGGAAGAGAUGGUGCAGGCCAUCAUGAACAUAGCGGGGGAAUUUUUCCGGUUGCCAGAGAGCGAGAGGCUGAAGAAUUACUCCGAUGACCGGUCGGAAUCGACCAGGCUCUGGACUAGCUUUAAUAUCAAGACCGAGAAGGUGUCUUACUGGAGAGAAUUCUUGAGACUCCUUUGCUACCCUCUUGAAGAAUACAUGCAUGAGUGGCCGACGAAUCCUCCAUCGUUCAGGUAAGAAACAAAGCUACCCUCAUGUUAUUUAUUUAUUUUGACUCAAAUAUUCAACAUUAAUUAUUUAAUAUAUCUUUUCGAUUGGAAUGCAUCACUGGCUACGGAACGAACUUGUGUAUCCUUAAAAGAUCCACAAUGAGUUCAAUUAUCACUAUCAUCACAUGUAAGCAAUUUUUUUUUGGAUCAUUCAUUCAAAUCAUGGCUCGAUCUUAUUUGAUCCACAAGAUUUCUGGCUAUUUUACAAGCCCAAGAUUUUUAUCAUAUCAGGUGGAGCUUUUUUCUAAAUAGAAAGACGGGAAAUAUGUAGACACGCAUGAUUUUUGUAACAUCGAAUGUUGAAGAUUCCCGUUGAUCAUAAGGAUUUCACAAGCUUUCACCAGUUAAGUUUGGAAAAUUAAAAGCUUGACCACUGUAAUUUCUAAAGUCUGAUAUUAGCUAAACAAAAAGAUUGAAAGAGAAGAAUCUCUCAACCGAAGAAAUGUAGGACCCAAGAAAAUAAGGGGAAGAGCCUAUUUUUCACCAAUAGACAAUACUGAUCCACGUGGAAUGUCAGCCAGUCAAGAAAAAGAAAGUAGUACUUUCCAGUGAUUUAUUAUGACUACCCCCGUUGCGGAAGUUAGAAAGAGCAUGCCUAAAAGUUCUCGAUUUUUUCGCCAAACUUCAAGUGUCUUGGCUUGUUGGCACACUUUAACUGCAUUGCCGGUUCAAUCUUCUUGACUAGCAGGAAGGAGGUGGGAGAGUAUUGCACAAGAGUAAGAGAACUGGCGCUCAAACUGUUGGAAGCCAUAUCAGAAAGCCUGGGGCUUGAAAGGGAAUACAUAAGCGAGAACUUGGGCAAGCAUGGUCAGCGGAUGGCUAUGAACUACUAUCCACCAUGCCCACAGCCCGAGCUCACUUACGGGUUGCUCUGCCACACCGAUCCGAAUUUGAUCACCAUCCUUCUUCAGGACGACGUGCCUGGUUUACAAGUCCUUAGAAAUGGAAAAUGGAUUGCUGUCAAUCCCAUCCCCAACACCUUCAUUGUCAACAUGGGAGAUCAAAUGCAGGUACUUUGGCUACAUUCUUUUGAAACAUGUCCGAGGAUGAGACGCUAAAGCUAAUAAGGAGAAUUUGGUACAACAUAUCAUAAAAACAGGAAGGAGCGCCUUUUUUUUUAGCUUAGUGAAAGAAACAAAACUUGCAUGAUUGUUCUGGCUGAUGAAGAUUGAUUCCAUCUUUUUGCACAAGUUCAUCAUUUGUUUUCCCAACAAGUCUUGGAACUGGACAUGUUUUUUUACUGAUUCAGGUCAUUAGCAAUGACAAGUACAAGAGCAUACUUCAUAGAGCAGUGGUGAACUCUGACAGGGAGAGAAUCUCCAUUCCAACCUUUUAUUGCCCAUCACCAGAAGCCCUAAUUGGACCUGCUCAGGGCUUGAUUGACCACGAACAUCCUGCGGUUUACAGGAGCUUCACUUAUAAAGAAUAUUACCACACGUUCUGGAACAAAGGACUUAUGACCGAAUGUUGCUUGGACAUGUUCAAGAUACCCUCGGCUUAGAAUUUAUUCUAAACUUCGAUCUUAGAGUUUUAGCGUUGGUGUGGAGAAAAAUCAGGUUGUUCCAUAUAAAUAAAUUACCGUGUCAAUCUUAAAUUUGGAGCUUUUCUCUCCAAUCUAAUUUUAAAUUUUGGAGUUUUGAUGAGUAAAUACUCCACCUCCUGUUUUAUUGGUGUUUACAGCAGCCUUAAUGUCAAAUAUAUGCUCAUCAACCCAUUUUCGUUUAGAGUUUUGGCACUUCGCAUUGGCUUAAGAGCCCGCUCUCACGAGUGUCAAAUCUGAGUUUUUUAAGCAUGUCUAUGAUGUCCCCAUAUGGUGAUGGUGUUAAGAACACCAAACCUAAGCACACACUAUCGAAAGGCAAAGUCGUAAUUAUAGAUGAAGAUCCAAGCAUGUGCUUAUCACUGAUGGUACUGUGAGAUUCGGUGUUUGGCCGCCAAUCAUUUUGUUUAGAUGCAAUCUCAAAUCUAUUAUUAAAAGACAAAUCUGUAAUUAUCUUUGACAAUCAUGCUCUAAUGAAACACCUUGAUUUAUGGUUUUUUGUUUGUUUUAGAGUCUAUGAACUUGCUAUGUUACUUUGACUUUUAAGGUUCCCCUUCAUGUAUCAUUUUGAUAAUGAAUGGAGAUUUCUUAUCAACCCAAAAGAAAAAAAUUCUUAUUGAUAUCAAAUGACAUAAAUGUACAACCUCUGAUUCACAACGCAAUUGGAAACUUUCAAUUCUUUUCCUACUUUAAUAACUCGAUUUAAUAGACAUGCAACCUCUAUUACUUGAUUUUAUCAAUGAUAUCAAAAUAUAUGGAGAAACAUCAGUCCAGAAAGUAUUUUCAUAUUAUUUUCUUUUACAAAUGGAUUUCCAUUAUUAAGUAAUUGAAUAUUGACUGAUUAAAUCAAAUGGCGAGGAGACAUUUUAUAUCUUCAAUGAAAAUUUUCAUCUCUACAUAUGUAACGAUGAUUGGUUAAUGAGAUGCCAUUGGUCUCGAUUAAUGUCAUUGCUGUCCUAUCUCAGAUUUCUCAGUACUCCUAAAAUUCCAUACUCAUACCAGCACUCUUUGCUUCGGCCAACCAAAAUAACAAAUUGAUCUUCUCUUUCGACUGAUCUUGACCUCGAGAAACCUACCAAUUUUGCUGUCAUUUAACUGCAUCUAUUGGUCCAAUUUUAGCUUUAGCGUCCAGUCAUUAGUUUACAUGUAUGUGUAAGUCAAUCUUCAAGAAAACCGACAAAUGAAGGGAGUUAAAAAAAAAGGGCAGGUAAGUAUUUCAAGAUAAAUGUACUUUGAUCACCAAAGUGGCAAGCCUAGUAUUAAUGAGAUACCUUGUAUUUCACAAGAUCGCGAGUUCAAUUCUUGCCGUAAGCGAAUUUCUGAAUAACUUGUAUUAUACUACCUAGUUAUAGCAUAUUUUGUAUAGAUAUACAACUCAACAGAUAGAAUUUUGGUGGGAUGUAGUGAGCUUAUCGAGUGGUCUGAAACUGAAGAAUCCGUGCAAGGUACAGGACCCUUAUGAUAGCCCAAAGGAGGUCGCCAGUGAGCUAACCACCCAAUUUUCAAGAAAAGAGAAGUCUAAUUUGACUUUUUCUUUUUCUUUUUUCUGCUUGUCAUACAUACAUGACUCAUAAGUAUUUUGUUUGUACAUAUCAAAAAGUUAGAAAGAUAUAGAAUUUUUAUAAUAAUUUAAGGACAUAAAUGUAGAGACUCAACUAUUUAAAAGAUCACGUAACUCUCUGAAAGUCCGUGAACCGGUUGAGGUCAACCCUUUAACAUGUGCGUGUGGUCUUAAUCGAGAGUAGCUUUUCAUACAAUCGGUGCUUUCAAAUAAUUGGCCACAUUAUCUUCCCGCGGUCAGAAAGGCAAGGCACAUGGGUUCCUAGCACUUUUGUCCCCGCUGAGCUGCAAUGUCGACAGCAUCAUAAUCGAAUCAGCCAAAGAUACAGCCGAGAAAGGGGCCAUUUCUCUCCACGCUCCAAUCUUUACGGAGCUCCGAUCGCUUUCUAGUCGAUAUACGGCUCAUAUCUUGCCCAUCAAGGUGCCCUCGUUCUUCAUCCGCUCUUUCGGCCCGUUUUGAUCAUCAUUUCCAAAUGCGUGCUGACGUAGGCGUGCGCUUUUAUAUACAUUGCGAUUAAGCGAUUUAGACACGUUUGUUUUAAUCUUUCUUCAAAGUGUAAAACUAUGGGAAUACAUUUAUGUUUGAAUUUUUCAUGGUGGAUAACUAUACUUUUUCAGCUACAAAGUGCCCUCCCCCAUUUCCCCUCCCCUACCNNNNNNNNNNNNNNNNNNNNNNNNNNNNNNNNNNNNNNNNNNNNNNNNNNNNNNNNNNNNNNNNNNNNNNNNNNNNNNNNNNNNNNNNNNNNNNNNNNNNGAUCAACAUAACAGUGAGACAACACGUUCUCAUCUUGUCUCGGGUCCACCUUCUUCUCCGACGACCGACUGUGCCUACGCUCACGACCGCUGGAACCCUAGCCACAGCCGAAUCAAUCGAUCGUCGACGCCCGUCGACGCGCCUCCGCCUCGCCGUCUCCGUCGCCACCCCUCGUCUCAACGCCAGAACCCUAGCCGCCGCCGAAUCUGUCGAUCGUUGCCGACGACGCUAAGGAGGAGGACGAAUCGGCUCUCGACCCCGAGCUCCGAUACAGCUUCCAGUGGAAUUUCAAGGUUCGCUUCUCCCCUGUAGUCCUCGAUUACGCUCUACAUAGGUUUGAUCCGCUGCUUCUUGAUUGCCUGGGUUUUCGUUUUCGUUUUGUUUCCUGCGAGUUGUUUGGUUUUCAUGUCGAGCGAGUGCGGCAGUUCUUGUUCUGCCGAAAUUUAUAGCUAAAAUGAUUGAUGGGUUUCUCUGCGUCGUCUUCUUUAGCUUUGGAUGAUUUCGGGAAAUGGGGUGAGUCGUCUGGUGGAGUUGGAUUUAGGAAGCUGAACAAGAAUCGGAGAGUUGCCGUCGGAUUUGUGUAAUUGGUGUUUGCCAAGAAAAGAAGAGAUUCGGCAGCUUGACUUCUGAGAGAGCAUCUUUUCUCUCUUUCCAGGAUUAGGCUAGAAUGAAAAAACUGCGAAGAUGCUCGCGAGAGAGAAAAAGUGCUGCAAAAUGUGCCGUCUUUUUGUGCUAAUUAGGUGAUGUGAGUUGUCAGGAGUAUACUUGUUUAUCAUGGAAAUGUGAUUCCUUUUUACUGGAGAGCGGAAGGCUGUGAAUUGAAGUUAGAUCUUGCGCAUAAGUUUAAGUACCCCACUUCUGAUUUUCGUGUCUCUGAAAAGAAGCAAUUUCACAUGUAACAACAAAUAAGACACAACAACUUGACAAAUUAAUUUAGGUUCAUAUCCCACAUGACAUGAGUGAUAUCCAUAAUGGAAGCAGAUAGCGCAUAUUUUUUUAUCGCAAACAGACUGGGAUCUACAAUCACAAAAGAAAGUUCAUUUUUACAAUGCAAAGGGAAGUAGAAACAGAGGACUAUAUUUUCUUUAUAUGACAUACCUCCCUGUUUAUUGACUCUCCCUUGAAAGCCACAUUCUACUCCUUGGCGAAACACCACCCAAUCCUGACAGAACAAAGCAUAGCUGAAUUGUACUUUAAACAAAACAACAAACAAUAGAAAAGAAGAAGAGCAGACAAAGAACUUAUCAUAGACUCUCACAAAACCAUCAACCAAUUUAUUGGUACACGAGUGCUUUCUUUCGUGUUACUUAUUGAUGUCUUGUUAGACUGGUAGCUGGAGUUCCAUCAUAAUUAUCUGGUAUACAUUGAGAUAAGCAUUCCUAUUCUCAAUGGAAGUUCCAAGUCGCGGACAUCUUAAUUUUGUUGUUUAUGUAAUUGAAGCAAAAAAGGUCUUUGUAGAUAAUCUAGUUUUUUUCUAGAUGAAGUUGCUAAAUUACUGUUUUUGUUUAAAUAUAUUAGCCAUUGUGGCAGAUUCUUUACUUUGUAGAUAGAGUAAUGGGAAAUGAAUUUAUAGUAAGAGGAUGUAUGUUGAUCAGAUUUACUUUGUUUGGAAGAACAGAAUGUUAACUAGGCCUCCUCCUCAUGCGUCGGUGGAGAUCGACUAUUAGUUUUGUCCUCCCUUUUUGGCAUGUUUGGUACAUUGAAAACAGAUAUGUUUUCUUUUCCAGGUUCAAAGUGAUCAUUUCAAGGAGUUUUUCGCUCUUGAAUUAGACAAACAUGGUUAUGAAGCUUUAUACAAGAAAAAAACGAUCGAGUUUAUUCAUGGACUUCUCCUUUUAUGUUGUCUUAGGUUUCACGUCAUUUUAUUUAUUUAUAUGUCCAUUGUCUGCAGGUUUAUGGUGGGAAUAUCAAUACAAUAGAUGGUUGUGCUACAUUUUUUCACAAGACAGGUUUCUAAUGUAAAAAAUACGAGGUAAAAGAGUUGCUGCAUUUGAUGUCUUCUCCAUCUCUGUAUCAUCAGAAGCUAAAGGCUUCAAUGUGUCUAUGCAGGUUGCAGCAGAGUCCUUGACAGAAGCAUUGGUUCCAAGCACCUAGAAGAAAGUUGCUUUAAAUCGAUUAAUUAAGAUUGAGAAGCUUCGUGACGAAGAACUGCAGCCUCAAAUUCUCAAGCUUUUAAAAGGAUUUAACGAACCCCCCCAAAAAAAAAAAAAAAAAAAAAGCAACCCAACCCUACCCGACCCGACCCGACCCAUUGACACCCCUACCCACAUACUUCUGCUAAAUUUAAUAAGUUGGGACAUUACAGGAUGAAGAAAUAGGUUCGGGUCUCCUAGGGUGAGUUUGGUAACAAUUUUGUUUCUGAUAAUAGAUUAUGAUAAAAAAAAAUGAUUAUUUUUUAUUCUAUUCUCAGUAACAAUUUCUAAAUAUUUUAAAUCGUUUGGUGACUGUUCAAAAUUUUUUUAUUCUAGCAUAAAAUUGUGUUUAGUACUGUACUCAUUGAUUCUGUUCCAAAUCAAUUUAUUUUAAUUUUUAAACAUUUUUUUUUACUUUUUUUCUUUUCUUUUUUUCCUUUUUUUCUCUUAUUCUUCUUCUUCUUCUUCUUGUGGCCAACGACCUCACCGAAGUAUCGCCGGCUCUCUACGAGACCUGCCGAGCCUCGCCGGGGCUGGGCGAGGCCCGCCUAGCCACCAGCGAGGCUCACCCAGCCCCGUCUGGCCACCAGCGAGGCUGGGCGUCGUGAGGCUUGCCCAGCCCCGACAAGACUAGGCGUUGCGAGGCUUGCCUAGCCUUGCCAGUGGCUAGGCUUGCCUCCAGCAAGCUCGCUGGACCGAUUGCCAACAACUAGUUGACAGCGAUGACGGCGACGAACUACAGACGGCAGACGGCGGAAGGCGAUCGUAAGAUGGCGGUAGAUGAAGAAGAAGAAAAGAGAAGAAGAAGAAGAAGAAGAAGAAGAAGAAGAAGAAGAAGAAGAAGAGAAAAUGAAACAAGACUUAAUUCUUAGAUUUAUUCCCGAAACAAUAAUCAAUUUUUAUUUUUUUUAUUCUUGAUUCUACUUCAAAUCUGUUCCCGGGAACAAAAAUUUUACCAAACGCGAUUUUGUUUCGAAGCUGCUCCUGAGAACAAAAAAUCAAAAUCAGUUACUGUUGGGAUGGUUAUCAUACAGCACCCUAGAGUAUAGUGAGAUUCGAGUUUCUGAUGCUCUGUCCCUAACAGUAAAGGGGCUGAUUAUCGACACUUAAUUGCUGAGGCCCAAUCUCCAUCCCAAUUAAAUGACCCUAGUCCUAAUGCUUAAUUGGAUCCCCGCUAACAGCAGUGUCGGGGCAACCCAUGAGAUGUGAAAUGAAAGCUGCUAGCCCCACGGUUGCCUUCGUGGCAACAAUUCUGGAGUACCAGACAACCGAGGUACUCGAGCUCACUGGGCAACGCAAACAAAAGACCUGAAGGCGAAGAGGAUGACCAUCGAGUUGUUCAUGUGACAAAUUGUGACGAACGCUCGGGAGUAUCUUCUGGAUUUCUGCCCCAAAAAAUAGACUUUCCAUGUCAAGCUGGCCAGCUCCGAGUCUCGGACAAGAGAGAAUUGGACCCGUCGGUCUGGUGAGGAGUGACCGGUGUCGAUGAUCGACUUACAUUAAAAGUUUUCACACCGCCUCUCAGCAUGAGCAACGCGGUAGGGCAAAAGAUGACGAGGAUGCAAUGUUAGUGGAAUUUCAGUAUUUCCGCGAUGAAAAUUUUCAUAAGGCUAUUACAACUCUCUGCAUCUCCCAAGUAUACAGUAAGGCUAUUACCACUUUCUUGCUACUCUAGUCUCUCACAAAGGGGUGCAUUGGCAUUCAGGAAUCACAGAAUAAGUUUCACACUGCCGUCUUAACUCAUGAGAGAGACAUUUGCCACCUUCGCAGGAUGGAUCCUUUGCCAUUGCUCCUGCAUACUUAGCGCAAGCGAAUGUGGUGGAAAGGGAAUUACCGGAGGAAUGAAUGCGAAAUGAGGAACCGAAGGAAUACUAACGAAAUGAGGCAUGGAAAUGUAUGAGCUAGUGUGCAGAAAUUUUGUGGCAAUCCAGAAUCAUUUGACUCUAAUAUCGAAUAUGCACCCCAAAAGGAAAAAUGACUAAUACGAUCCAUUCCAUUUAGGAUGCUCACUCCGUUGUUAAAUAUUUUCUACCUAGCGAGAGAAAAAGAGUCCAGGCUGCAAUCGCAAUUCGCAUCCCAGCCCUGAUUCAGCAUAUGCUAAACAUCUACUCGAGAUCAAUUAACACAGGCAAUAUAAAAGCAUGGGUAGCAUGUCCAAAAGUUGCGAACAAGGGCCGUGCACACUGCAUUUUAUACAUGGUGAAAGGUUUCAUGUCCACUGGACAAUUAAGAGAUGAAAUUUAACCUCAGUGUUGAUCCAGCUGGCUUCUCAAGGAAACAUAGUGUAGGUGCUCAUCAUCUUUGUGAUCGAGAAAAGUUGAAUCACCAGAUCCUUCAAACAUCUCCACAUAUAUUCAGUGCAUCGAUGCCUAACUACAGAUGGGUCAUCUCACUAGCUCAACAUCUACUCACGCUCUAUCUGAAUAGU